RNAcentral lists this ribosomal RNA (496 nucleotides) under uncultured bacterium. RNAcentral's name for it is "partial 16S ribosomal RNA". It matches the Rfam family "Bacterial small subunit ribosomal RNA", at positions 28 to 507 of the family's 1533-position model. The record is from RNAcentral.
GACGAACGCUGGCGGCGUGCCUAAUACAUGCAAGUUGAGCGAUGAAGAUUGGUGCUUGCACCAAUUUGAAGAGCAGCGAACGGGUGAGUAACGCGUGGGGAAUCUGCCUUUGAGCGGGGGACAACAUUUGGAAACGAAUGCUAAUACCGCAUAACAACUUUAAACAUAAGUUUUAAGUUUGAAAGAUGCAAUUGCAUCACUCAAAGAUGAUCCCGCGUUGUAUUAGCUAGUUGGUGAGGUAAAGGCUCACCAAGGCAAGGAUACAUAGCCGCCCUGGGAGGGGGUCGGCCCCAUUGGGACCUAGACAACGCCCAAACCCCUACGGGAGGCAGCAGGAGGGAAUUUUCGGAAAUGGACGGAAGGCUGACCGAGCAACGCCGGGGGGGUGAAGAAGGGUCUCGGAUCGUAAAACUCUGGUGGUAGAGAAGAACGAUGGUGAGAGGGGAAAGCUCAUAAAGCGACGGUAACUACCCAGAAAGGGACGGCUAACUACGUG